AUUGAACGCUGGCGGCAGGCUUAACACAUGCAAGUCGAGCGGGGGAAGGUAGCUUGCUACUGGACCUAGCGGCGGACGGGUGAGUAAUGCUUAGGAAUCUGCCUAUUAGUGGGGGACAACAUCUCGAAAGGGAUGCUAAUACCGCAUACGUCCUACGGGAGAAAGCAGGGGAUCUUCGGACCUUGCGCUAAUAGAUGAGCCUAAGUCGGAUUAGCUAGUUGGUGGGGUAAAGGCCUACCAAGGCGACGAUCUGUAGCGGGUCUGAGAGGAUGAUCCGCCACACUGGGACUGAGACACGGCCCAGACUCCUACGGGAGGCAGCAGUGGGGAAUAUUGGACAAUGGGGGGAACCCUGAUCCAGCCAUGCCGCGUGUGUGAAGAAGGCCUUAUGGUUGUAAAGCACUUUAAGCGAGGAGGAGGCUACUUUAGUUAAUACCUAGAGAUAGUGGACGUUACUCGCAGAAUAAGCACCGGCUAACUCUGUGCCAGCAGCCGCGGUAAUACAGAGGGUGCGAGCGUUAAUCGGAUUUACUGGGCGUAAAGCGUGCGUAGGCGGCUUAUUAAGUCGGAUGUGAAAUCCCCGAGCUUAACUUGGGAAUUGCAUUCGAUACUGGUGAGCUAGAGUAUGGGAGAGGAUGGUAGAAUUCCAGGUGUAGCGGUGAAAUGCGUAGAGAUCUGGAGGAAUACCGAUGGCGAAGGCAGCCAUCUGGCCUAAUACUGACGCUGAGGUACGAAAGCAUGGGGAGCA
Molecule: ribosomal RNA, 748 nt
Filed under: Acinetobacter baumannii OIFC189
Lineage: Bacteria; Pseudomonadati; Pseudomonadota; Gammaproteobacteria; Moraxellales; Moraxellaceae
Description: bacterial SSU rRNA
Rfam family: Bacterial small subunit ribosomal RNA
Source: RNAcentral